Molecule: ribosomal RNA, 253 nt
Filed under: uncultured bacterium
Lineage: Bacteria
Description: partial 16S ribosomal RNA
Rfam family: Bacterial small subunit ribosomal RNA
Source: RNAcentral
UACGGAGGGGGUUAGCGUUGUUCGGAAUGACUGGGCGUAAAGGGAGCGUAGGCGGACAUUUAAGUCAGGGGUGAAAUCCCGGGGCUCAACCUCGGAAUUGCCUUUGAUACUGGGUGUCUUGAGUGUGAGAGAGGUAUGUGGAACUCCGAGUGUAGAGGUGAAAUUCGUAGAUAUUCGGAAGAACACCAGUGGCGAAGGCGACAUACUGGCUCAUUACUGACGCUGAGGCUCGAAAGCGUGGGGAGCAAACAGG